RNAcentral lists this ribosomal RNA (253 nucleotides) under uncultured bacterium. RNAcentral describes it as "partial 16S ribosomal RNA". It matches the Rfam family "Bacterial small subunit ribosomal RNA", at positions 524 to 776 of the family's 1533-position model. The record is from RNAcentral.
CACGUAGGGUGCGAGCGUUGUCCGGAAUUAUUGGGCGUAAAGGGAGUGUAGGCGGUUGUCUAAGUCUUCUGUGAAAUCUACGGGCUUAGCCUGUAACGUGCAGAGGAAACUGGGCGACUUGAGUGUCGGAGAGGAUAGGGGAAUACCCGGUGUAGAGGUGAAAUUCGUAGAGAUCGGGUGGAACACCAGUGGCGAAGGCGCCUGUCUGGCUGACAACUGACGCUGAGACUCGAAAGCAUGGGGAGCAAACAGG